UACAGAGGGGGCAAGCGUUGUUCGGAAUUACUGGGCGUAAAGGGCGCGUAGGCGGCCUGUUAAGUCGAACGUGAAAUCCCCGGGCUCAACCCGGGAACUGCGUCCGAUACUGGCAGGCUUGAAUCCGGGAGAGGGAAGCGGAAUUCCGGGUGUAGCGGUGAAAUGCGUAGAUAUCCGGAGGAACACCGGUGGCGAAGGCGGCUUCCUGGACCGACACUGACGCUGAGGCGCGAAAGCUAGGGGAGCAAACGGG
RNAcentral lists this ribosomal RNA (253 nucleotides) under uncultured bacterium. Its description in RNAcentral is "partial 16S ribosomal RNA". It matches the Rfam family "Bacterial small subunit ribosomal RNA", at positions 524 to 776 of the family's 1533-position model. The record is from RNAcentral.